GAAGUUUGGCAAUCGUCUCUUUAAUAAUGCCUAGCUCCACAUGAAAUAUAAAGUUAGAUGAGGUGAUUCCGACGAUGCAUACAUGUAAAAGAGCAAAUAUUCUCUUGACAAAUGAGAGCCAACAUUGUUUACUUGGUUUAUUUACGUAAGAAUAAAUAUGUCAAAAAGGAAAAAUCUGGCUCUUCAUUCUAUUUGAUUAUUUAUAUUUGUGAAAAUAAGUUUAAUUCACUCGUUCACAAAUAAGAUAAAUUAAUGGAUUAUGAAUGAAUGGGGUUGAGAUAUGGUUGGGAGUUAGGUAACGGUUGCAUGUAUAAUCCACCUUUCUCAUUCCUAUUUCUUGCAAUAAAAUUUAAUAGAUCAUCGUUGACCUCUGUCAUAUUAAAAAAAAAAAAUAUUAUUACUUCAUCUCGAAUAAAAUAAUCCAAUAAAAGCUAGUCUACAAAAAAAAAAUCUAACAGUAUAUGCAUUUUCAAAAAUACAAUAUAACUUUUAAAUACAAUUUAUAUAAAUAAUUACAUUUUAACUAAUAAAUAGUUAGAAAAUUUUCUGUAGCAACACUAGAAAGUUAAAAUUCUUCCAAAAUUUGUCUACUUGUACCCCUGAAAUUUUGCCGAUGUACUCAAACAUCGCAAUAAACAGUGAUAUAUUCUCUCCAACAACUCGGUAAGAAUAAUAAAAAGCUUAGCUAAACAAUGGCUGCAAAAACAAUAUAAACUAGAUCUUGAUCCUCACAGCCGCGCCAGUAUUAUUUUUAAUUAUAUAUAUAUAUAUAUAUAUAUUUUAGAUUAUUAGUAGUAUACAUAUUAACAUGUAUACCAAUAGCUGCAAAAACAAUAUAAAUAGGUCAAAACAUGUCCAUGUGUAAUCUUGUAAUUUGUAGAAACUUCUAGGCCAAACUUGAUUCUGAAAAUAGAGUCGGC
RNAcentral lists this long non-coding RNA (920 nucleotides) under Brassica rapa (field mustard). RNAcentral describes it as "long non-coding RNA (BRAP_LNC005782)". The record is from RNAcentral. Lineage: Eukaryota; Viridiplantae; Streptophyta; Magnoliopsida; Brassicales; Brassicaceae.